AACUCGCUGAUUCAUCCACUUUGGCUUUUGUGUGGUGUCUUCACUGAGUAAAGCCAAGACAGAGGAAUGGAGCCACAGUCUCCUACUGAGUCCACAUCAUCACCAGUGCAAACACAUGUAGCAAAGGAUUUCAGUUUUAUUUACUAUUUCAGUCUGUGGAGUAACCAACUGGGGAGACGUUUGAAGGAAGGGCUGCUGUGAUUCUGAUCUUAGAUGCCUUCUUGAAGUCAAUCACAAAAGCAGGUAACUUUCUGUUCCUGCUGAUGUAAUUUUUUUUGUUUCGUUUUGUUUUCCACAUAUCCUUUAUGGUUCUAUUAAUGGCUGUGACCUCAGAUGCUCAAAUGUGGCCAGUGUGAAUCAAUCUCUUCCUGCUGCCUGCUGAUCAAGAUGGAAAACUCCCAGUCACCCAGGCAGCAUCAAGUCUGCCUACACGCAGCGAUGCUUCCCACCGUGGAAACGGUGGACUAAACUGUAAACUGUAAACCAGCCCCACUUAAAUAUUUUCUUU
RNAcentral lists this long non-coding RNA (508 nucleotides) under Mus pahari (shrew mouse). RNAcentral describes it as "RIKEN cDNA 2610300M13 gene (MGP_PahariEiJ_G0005034.1)". Lineage: Eukaryota; Metazoa; Chordata; Mammalia; Rodentia; Muridae. The record is from RNAcentral.